This 301-nucleotide ribosomal RNA is filed under the name uncultured bacterium. RNAcentral's name for it is "partial 16S ribosomal RNA". It matches the Rfam family "Bacterial small subunit ribosomal RNA", at positions 509 to 807 of the family's 1533-position model. The record is from RNAcentral.
CAGCCGCCGCGGUAAAACGUAGGUGGCAAGCGUUGUCCGGAAUUAUUGGGCGUAAAGGGCUCGCAGGCGGUUUCUUAAGUCUGAUGUGAAAGCCCCCGGCUCAACCGGGGAGGGUCAUUGGAAACUGGGAAACUUGAGUGCAGAAGAGGAGAGUGGAAUUCCACGUGUAGCGGUGAAAUGCGUAGAGAUGUGGAAGAACACCAGUGGCGAAGGCGACUCUCUGGUCUGUAACUGACGCUGAGGAGCGGAAGCGUGGGGAGCGAACAGGAUUAGAUACCCCUGUAGUCCCUGUCUCUUAUAC